CGCGCAUCCCCACAUUGCCUGCCAGGCUCUGGGUACUACCUGCGCGGGAUCUGUGCCAGCCGGCCACAGCAGAGCCAACCGCAGCCAGACGCAGCACUGUUGUCAACAGCUGCACUACUUGUCAUGCCGCUACGCAUGCCCUGCCAGCCCCACCGCGGACCGCUACCUAGACACCACCGGCUCCUCAGCCUGCGCGCUUGCGCCGCUUCUUGGGCUGCGCUGCGCUCUCCUCCUCCACGUGGCCUUUCCCGCCCCCUCCGCUACCAAGAUGCGCGCACGCGCCCCCGCUGCUGCUGCCGCCGCCGCCGCCGCUGCCGCCGCCGCCGCCGCCACUGCUGCCGCUGCUGCCGCCACUGCUGCCGCCGCCGCCGCCAGUCUGCAGCGAUGCAGGUCGCUUGUGCCCCAGCAGCAUCUCCACCAGCGCGUGCCGGAUGUU
RNAcentral lists this long non-coding RNA (436 nucleotides) under Chlamydomonas reinhardtii. RNAcentral's name for it is "long non-coding RNA (CREI_LNC000772)". The record is from RNAcentral. Lineage: Eukaryota; Viridiplantae; Chlorophyta; Chlorophyceae; Chlamydomonadales; Chlamydomonadaceae.